Molecule: ribosomal RNA, 314 nt
Filed under: uncultured bacterium
Lineage: Bacteria
Description: partial 16S ribosomal RNA
Source: RNAcentral
ACUAGUAACGGCCGCCAGUGUGCUGGAAUUCGGCUUUAAUCCGACCUAGGCUCAUCUGAUAGCGUGAGGUCCGAAGAUCCCCCACUUUCUCCCGUAGGACGUAUGCGGUAUUAGCGUCCCUUUCGAGACGUUGUCCCCCACUACCAGGCAGAUUCCUAGGCAUUACUCACCCGUCCGCCGCUGAAUUCAGGAGCAAGCUCCUGUCAUCCGCCCGACUUGCAUGUGUUAAGCACGCCGCCAGCGUUCAAUCUGAGCCAGGAUCAAACUCUAAGCCGAAUUCUGCAGAUAUCCAUCACACUGGCGGCCGCUCGAGC